AUCCCAGCACAUCAUGGAGAGCUAAGUGACAGAACAGGCAGCUCCUCUUCUCCCUGCUCUCCCCUCCAUGGCCCAUCUCAUCCACCUCUGCCAUCUCCAUGUCCAAGUUCAGGGGCAGCAGUGGUAUGUGAUGUUGGCAGCAGUGCCCAAACAUCAGCAAUCAGUCUACUGCUGUCCCAGCACCAAGCCAGGGGCUGUGAAGGGUGAAGGAGAAGGCUCUUUGGGUCAUCUGACCCUUGUCUCCACUCAAAAUGAGACACCAGGGUGUUCCCCACCCACAUACAUUCAGGAUUGCUGUCUCCAGUCUCUAUUUGAGACAUCAGAGAUGUCAUCAUUUCCAUAUGCUUCUCCUAAUAAAGUAACAUCCAUUUAAA
Molecule: long non-coding RNA, 374 nt
Organism: Gorilla gorilla gorilla (western lowland gorilla)
Lineage: Eukaryota; Metazoa; Chordata; Mammalia; Primates; Hominidae
Exons: 2
Source: RefSeq, a predicted model, not a curated record